AUUGAACGCUGGCGGCAGGCCUAACACACGCAAGUCGAGCGGAUGAAGGGAGCUUGCUCCUGGAUUCAGCGGCGGACGGGUGAGUAAUGCCUAGGAAUCUGCCUGGUAGUGGGGGAUAACGUCCGGAAACGGGCGCUAAUACCGCAUACGUCCUGAGGGAGAAAGUGGGGGAUCUUCGGACCUCACGCUAUCAGAUGAGCCUAGGUCGGAUUAGCUAGUUGGUGGGGUAAAGGCCUACCAAGGCGACGAUCCGUAACUGGUCUGAGAGGAUGAUCAGUCACACUGGAACUGAGACACGGUCCAGACUCCUACGGGAGGCAGCAGUGGGGAAUAUUGGACAAUGGGCGAAAGCCUGAUCCAGCCAUGCCGCGUGUGUGAAGAAGGUCUUCGGAUUGUAAAGCACUUUAAGUUGGGAGGAGGGGCAGUAAGUUAAUACCUUGCUGUUUUGACGUUACCAACAGAAUAAGCACCGGCUAACUUCGUG
Molecule: ribosomal RNA, 484 nt
Filed under: uncultured bacterium
Lineage: Bacteria
Description: partial 16S ribosomal RNA
Rfam family: Bacterial small subunit ribosomal RNA
Source: RNAcentral